RNAcentral lists this ribosomal RNA (540 nucleotides) under uncultured bacterium. RNAcentral describes it as "bacterial SSU rRNA". It matches the Rfam family "Bacterial small subunit ribosomal RNA", at positions 306 to 842 of the family's 1533-position model. The record is from RNAcentral.
CCCCACACUGGUACUGAGACACGGACCAGACUCCUACGGGAGGCAGCAGUGAGGAAUAUUGGUCAAUGGGCGGAAGCCUGAACCAGCCAAGUCGCGUGAGGGAAGACGGUCCUAUGGAUUGUAAACCUCUUUUGCAGGGGAGCAAGGCGCGGUACGUGUACCGCGAAGGAGAGUACCCUGAGAAAAAGCAUCGGCUAACUCCGUGCCAGCAGCCGCGGUAAUACGGAGGAUGCGAGCGUUAUCCGGAUUUAUUGGGUUUAAAGGGUGCGCAGGCGGACUGUUAAGUCAGCGGUAAAAUGUCGGUGCUCAACACCGGCCGGCCGUUGAAACUGGCAGCCUUGAGUGAGCGAGAAGUAUGCGGAAUGCGUGGUGUAGCGGUGAAAUGCAUAGAUAUCACGCAGAACUCCGAUUGCGAAGGCAGCAUACCGGCGCUCAACUGACGCUCAGGCACGAAAGCGUGGGUAUCGAACAGGCUUAGAUACCCUGGUAGUCCACGCAGUAAACGAUGAAUGCUCACUGUCCGGGCCGUUUAAGGCCUGG